Lynx canadensis (Canada lynx) is the source of this 820-nucleotide long non-coding RNA. RefSeq lists it as uncharacterized. The record is from RefSeq and is a predicted model, not a curated record. The transcript is spliced from 2 exons. NCBI's taxonomy places the organism in Eukaryota, Metazoa, Chordata, Mammalia, Carnivora, Felidae.
CACUUCGCGCGGCUGGGCCGGGUCACCGCCCCCCGCCGCCGUCUCAGUUGCUGUUCUGUGUCGGCGGCGGCGGCGGCGGCGGCGUCGGGGCUGCUGAUUGUCUCGCGCCCAGACUGGCUGGCUCUGUGCAACUUCCAGACGCCUCUUUGGGGCAGGUCCGGGGGGAGCGGGGAGGAAUCUGAUUGCCAGAAGCCAGGCACACAACCUUGCCUCCGUGCUCCCCUCUUUUGAUCCCCUUAGGGCAUCCUGGCCCCACGCGCGGUGGGGCAGGGACGGUGACCCCAUUUUACGGAUGGCAAAACUAAGGGGAGAAGCGACUCGGCCAAAGGCACAUCUCGAGAUACAAGUAACAGAAACAAGAGAACUCCCAUCCCUCACUGCCGUUUCCCGCCUCCCCCCGGGGUGAUGCCCUGGGCUCAGAAAUCUCCCUCUUUCUCUGUCUGCGACCUCUGGCUCCACCUUUUACCAGCUUCAGUCCAUCAGCACUGGAGGCUGAGAACCAACUCUCCUACCUUCUCAUUCAUAAAUCCGAUUAAAGACUGCUGGAGUGUUCUAACCUGUGGAACUUGGGCAAGCCCCUACCCCAUUUUGGGCCUCAGUUUUCCCAUCUGUAUAAGAGAGGCUAUGUUACCCCCUAAGAAGCCUUCCAGCCCUCAUAUUCCAGGAUACUUGGAUACUUUCGCUGCAGGCACCAGCCCGCCGUGAGGAAUGAACCUUCCUUCCUUUUCUCUGUAUCUUAAUUACAGUUGCCUUCCCAAUGCCUGUGCAGGUGAGGGUGUUCCGCAAAGGCGAUUGAAUAAGAAUAAAGGUCUGCCUUUGC